AACACAAAAGUGAGAUAUAAGAACUCAGACAAAAAUAAAAAAAUUACAGAGAUCAAAAUAAAAAAUUUCAUAACUUACAGGGACCAAAAGACUAUUUAAACCUUUAAAUAUUAAAAUUAUUUUCGCAAGAAGAAAGGGAAUGAAGGAUACCGAAGUCACUUACAUGUAAAGAAAGAGAGCGGAGAAUUAUAAAUCACUUUAAUAGUAUAAAAAAAGAAG
RNAcentral lists this long non-coding RNA (219 nucleotides) under Lathyrus oleraceus (garden pea). Its description in RNAcentral is "Pisum sativum (pea) long non-coding RNA (PSAT_LNC021908)". The record is from RNAcentral. Lineage: Eukaryota; Viridiplantae; Streptophyta; Magnoliopsida; Fabales; Fabaceae.